GAUGAACGCUGGCGGCGUGCCUAAUACAUGCAAGUCGAGCGAACAGACGAGGAGCUUGCUCCUCUGACGUUAGCGGCGGACGGGUGAGUAACACGUGGAUAACCUACCUAUAAGACUGGGAUAACUUCGGGAAACCGGAUCUAAUACCGGAUAAUAUAUUGAACCGCAUGGUUCAAUAGUGAAAGACGGUUUUGCUGUCACUUAUAGAUGGUUCCGCGCCGCAUUAGCUAGUUGGUAAGGUAACGGCUUACCAAGGCAACGAUGCGUAGCCGACCUGAGGGGGUGAUCGGCCACACUGGAACUGAGACACGGUCCAGACUCCUACGGGAGGCAGCAGUAGGGAAUCUUCCGCAAUGGGCGAAAGCCUGACGGAGCAACGCCGCGUGAGUGAUGAAGGUCUUCGGAUCGUAAAACUCUGUUAUUAGGGAAGAACAAAUGUGUAAGUAAAUAUGCACGUCUUGACGGUACCUAAUCAGAAAGCCACGGCUAACUACGUG
RNAcentral lists this ribosomal RNA (497 nucleotides) under uncultured bacterium. RNAcentral's name for it is "partial 16S ribosomal RNA". It matches the Rfam family "Bacterial small subunit ribosomal RNA", at positions 28 to 507 of the family's 1533-position model. The record is from RNAcentral.